GGGUGGAAUUUAUCAUCCAUAACCACGUUGGUAGGGUGCUAAUGGCUGGAUCUAUUCCUCUUCAUAGUAGCAAUAUUUUCAAAUUGCAUUUAGUAGCUGACAAUCUCUUCAGAUUGUUAAAAAUUUAAUAUAAUUAUCUGAAUUAUUAUAUUUGAUAUAUUUUUUGGGUUCAUAAUCCAGAUUGCCUUGGCAAUCUAGCGAUCCAGAUUAUCUCUUAGAAGAUAAUCUGGAUUAUCAAGAAAGGGAUGGCUAUCUAAAUUAUUACUACUUUGGUAAUCUUAUAAUAAAAUUUUUGAACAUAAUUAUCCUUAUAAAAAAAUAAUCAAACAAAACCCGAGAGCUGGCAGGUUGUCUUUGGAAGCCGAUGCCGAAGCUAGAUGAUGCGAUGUU
This 390-nucleotide long non-coding RNA is filed under the name Elaeis guineensis (African oil palm). RNAcentral's name for it is "long non-coding RNA (EGUI_LNC080842)". Lineage: Eukaryota; Viridiplantae; Streptophyta; Magnoliopsida; Arecales; Arecaceae. The record is from RNAcentral.